Quercus robur (English oak) is the source of this 2663-nucleotide long non-coding RNA. RefSeq lists it as uncharacterized. The transcript has 4 exons. The record is from RefSeq and is a predicted model, not a curated record. Lineage: Eukaryota; Viridiplantae; Streptophyta; Magnoliopsida; Fagales; Fagaceae.
AAAACACCAAGCUGCUUAUCCAAAAAAAAAAAAAAAAAAGCAAACCCUAAAACACAAAGCCAUAUUUCCUGACCGAAAGUUCAGACUCACUCUGACUUCCACCUCUUCGCUGCAACUCCAUAGACACACAGAUUAGAAUACCGUGUUCCAGACCAACAAGCAUACGAAAAAAGAAAAUCCAAAAGGAAGCGAAAAAAAAGACUUUGUUCAUCUUCUGCAACAGUGAAAACUGGAAAACUUUGUUUGUCCUCUGCAACAACAGGCGAUUUAGAAGCGAUUCAGAAGAUAAUUUAGAAGUUAUUUGGACUUUGACCACCAAAAAUCUUGCUUCCCUCAACCGGUGGUACUCUGUUACCGGCACCACCCAUCUUCAGCUCCAUUUAAUCAUAGCAUUGAUGGUGAUUUUGGUUUAGGGUUAUGUUUCUCUGCUUUGUUCGUUGUCUGCCCCCAUCACUUCUCUUCAACGUUGUAUUCGAAAGAUCAGUCAUCCUUAACAUAUAAGACUUAUGGCUACUAUUUGAGAAGAACUACUGAAUUAAAUUGAAAGGUUAGAAAAGCCUAAUUUUCCUUUGUAGCUAUUAUAGAAUUUUUGUUAAUGCCUGAUUAAAAAAAGGUAGAACUAAAAUAGUUUUGAAUAUUAUCAAAUAUGGACUCUUUGAUUCUAAAAAUAAAUGCUAAAACUUAUUUCUUUCCUUUACCAUGAUAUGAUGGCAAAAAAGAAAAAAAAAAUUAAAAUGCAAGAGAAGCACGCCUAAAAAGAUGAAUGCUAAUGUUUGAGAAACGAUCCAAAAGAAAAUGGCAUGAAAGAAAAAAUAGUUUACAAAAUAAACCUACCUAGGCUAGGAAAUUCAGGGGAAUGGACAUUGUUGAAAAAAAAAAAAAAUAAAAAAAAAAAAUAAAAAAGGAGGGAUAGUGCAGCAUUAACUCAUGACUGCUUUUUGUUGUAUUCACCUAGUACAAGUAUGAACCUUUUUGCGUCAAGAGGUUCGCUUCUCUUUCUACCACUUUGUACUUAUUAGUUCUUUAAACAUUCUUUUUUAAAAAUUUGAAAAUAAAACUUUCAAUUCACAUAUGAUUAUUAGAUAUUGAUGUUGACAUGGGCCAUUCCUUUGGAGAAACUAAGUUGAACGUGAGUACGGAUGAUACUUUGGUAGAAGAUGGGUCUAAUUGUUGUGAUGCUCCUCAAGGAAUCCAUGAAUAAGAAAAUGAGUGGUUGUGAAGAAUUUCCAAGUAAAUGACUUAACUAAAAUUUACAAGGGGAAAAAAAAAACUUGGCUUCCAUUUUUGUUCAUGUUAUUAAUGUUGUUCCUAUAUUUUAAAAUUCAUAUAGGAAAAUUUACUGAUCCUUGGAAUUUUGGCCCACCUUCUUUUGUAUGCAUGUAUUGCGGUUCAAUUUUAUGGUAUGAAGAGAGAAUAGUAAAAUCUAAGAGGCCUAGGAACUCAAAAUUCUCUCUCUGUUGUAUCUAUUUAAUUGUUAGUCUCUAUCUUUCAUACUAUUGAAUACUUUGUUUUGUAGAGUUAUUUUGGAACUCCGUGCAUCCAUCUUAAUUUCACUAAUUUUUGCUUAUAGGCUCAGGUUGUUGUUUUUCCUAUUAAAUAAGUAGUUUUGUACUCAAAGUUGUUGGUUUGUAAGUGAAUGGUUUGAUUCAAGUGCUAAUUUGAAGAUUUUAUUGAUUAAGGUAGAUCAAGAUCUUUUUUUCAUACCUAGGUGUGGGUAGACUCAUUACAUGAAGUUGAGUGUCUAUGUGUUGAAUUAGCAACAUGUGGAGGAUUUUUUAUAUUAUUUUUAAAAUGUAUUUGAACAAUGGUAAUUUACACCAUCUGUUUAGUGCACAUUUUUUAUAACCCGGAUUUGUUUUCUUUUCUUACAUGCUUGCUUUUUGUUUCCUUUAAAAAGAUGCAUGGAAUGCCAAGUUGCCUUUGUUUUUUUUUUUUUUUUUUUUUUUUUUUUUUGGUUUUUUUUCCCCUUUGAUGGUGAUGAUGCCGAAAAUCGUCAGUAAACCACACGAUACUCACGUGCUUAAGAUGAUACCUGCGAGACAAAAACAAAGAAAAACCUUAGGAGAGUACCGAUGUGGUACCGGCCAAAGACCCUCCAAAGGUUAAGUCAGAAAACCUUUCACAACUCUAGAGUGCCAGAGUUAGGGUGAAUUAUGUGUACCUUGUUUUCUGAGAGCCUUUAGGUUUUUAUAGUAGUGUAGAACCGACCUCUGUUUCUUGCGUAGGAAGGCGUUUCCUUAUGGAGAAGAUCAUCAUAUGGGCGUAUAUUAUGAGAUUCUCCUCAUGUUAGGAUUCUAUUCAUAUUGGGACACUAUUGACUAGGGUUAAUCGUGGGACACAAGUUGUUUCCAAUUAGGAUUACUUGGGGGUUACUUAAACCAUGUGGAUGCCACGUGGCCUUGAGACCCGUCCACCUUGUGUCCGCGCAUCUUGGAUCCGUCCACUGUUAGCCCACUAGUCUAGCACCGUCAGAUUUAUUUAAAUGGACCCGUUGUCCCUAAUUUUACCCUCUUCAGAUGGAAUGCCAUGUCGUCUUUGGCAAGAUGCUAUAUUGGAUGGAUGUCAUCUACAAGAGUGACGUAGAAGGAUAUAUUUAGUUAUUGUUUUGGGAUGUUAUUCUAUUUGGUCAAAGAGAACUUUUAAAUCCUCUAUUAUUGUUGAGA